AUUGAACGCUAGCGGGAUGCUUUACACAUGCAAGUCGAACGGCAGCGCGGACUUCGGUCUGGCGGCGAGUGGCGAACGGGUGAGUAAUGUAUCGGAACGUGCCCAGUAGCGGGGGAUAACUACGCGAAAGCGUAGCUAAUACCGCAUACGCCCUACGGGGGAAAGCAGGGGAUCGUAAGACCUUGCACUAUUGGAGCGGCCGAUAUCGGAUUAGCUAGUUGGUGAGGUAACGGCUCACCAAGGCGACGAUCCGUAGCUGGUUUGAGAGGACGACCAGCCACACUGGGACGGAGACACGGCCCAGACUCCUGCGGGAGGCAGCAGUGGGGAAUUUUGGACAAUGGGGGCAACCCUGAUCCAGCCAGCCCGCGUGUGCGAUGAAGGCCUUCGGGUUGUAAAGCACUUUUGGCAGGAAAGAAACGUCGCGGGCUAAUACCCCGUGGAACUGACGGUACCUGCAGAAUAAGCACCGGCUAACUACGUG
This 484-nucleotide ribosomal RNA is filed under the name uncultured bacterium. RNAcentral describes it as "partial 16S ribosomal RNA". It matches the Rfam family "Bacterial small subunit ribosomal RNA", at positions 29 to 507 of the family's 1533-position model. The record is from RNAcentral.